AGACGAUUGAUCGAGUGGCUUAAGGCAGCGGUCUUGAAAACCGCCGAGGGUGCAAGCCCUCCGUGAGUUCGAAUCUCAUUCCGUCAGCCG
This 90-nucleotide transfer RNA is filed under the name Pleomorphomonas carboxyditropha. RNAcentral's name for it is "tRNA-Ser". The stretch from base 8 to 87 matches the Rfam family "tRNA". From Rfam's summary of the family: Transfer RNA (tRNA) molecules are approximately 80 nucleotides in length. Their secondary structure includes four short double-helical elements and three loops (D, anti-codon, and T loops). Lineage: Bacteria; Pseudomonadati; Pseudomonadota; Alphaproteobacteria; Hyphomicrobiales; Pleomorphomonadaceae. The record is from RNAcentral.